RNAcentral lists this small RNA (738 nucleotides) under Pongo abelii (Sumatran orangutan). RNAcentral describes it as "retained intron". The record is from RNAcentral. Lineage: Eukaryota; Metazoa; Chordata; Mammalia; Primates; Hominidae.
UAGCUGGGACCUAAACUUGCUGUCUUUAUUCCCACAGGAGUUGGACCCUUUGCGGGACCGCAACCUGGAGUCCCACUGGGGUAUCCCAUCAAGGCCCCCAAGCUGCCUGGUGGCUAUGGACUGCCCUACACCACAGGGAAACUGCCCUAUGGCUAUGGGCCUGGAGGAGUGGCUGCUGCAGCGGGCAAGGCUGGUUACCCAACAGGGACAGGGGUUGGCCCCCAGGCAGCAGCAGCAGCGGCAGCUAAAGCGGCAGCAAAGUUUGGUGCUGGAGCAGCCGGAGUCCUCCCUGGUGUUGGAGGGGCCGGUGUUCCUGGUGUGCCUGGGGCAAUUCCUGGAAUCGGAGGCAUCGCAGGUAACAUCUGUCCCAGCAGGGGGCGGGUGUGUCCUUGAGAUGGCCACAGGGCAAGGACCUCACCCUCUGUGGCUGUGUUUUCAGGCGUUGGGACUCCAGCUGCAGCUGCAGCUGCAGCAGCAGCCGCUAAGGCAGCCAAGUAUGGUGAGUGCCUCCCAGGGUGGCAAGUCCAUGGCUCAGGCCCCUGCAUAGACCUCGGAGACCCUAGCCCUAAAGCCAGAUGGCCUUGGCCUUUGUCCCUUCCCAAAUAUGCACUGUUCAUGCCUCCUUAUCUUUGCUCCUUCUGAUCACUCUACCUGAGAUGCUGUCUCUAUUGUUUUGCCCUGAGGAGGGGACCCUGCAGAGGGGACCUGGCUCCUCCCACUCCAUCCCCUCCAGGGCGG